This 810-nucleotide long non-coding RNA is filed under the name Erythranthe guttata (spotted monkey flower). RNAcentral describes it as "long non-coding RNA (EGUT_LNC000802)". Lineage: Eukaryota; Viridiplantae; Streptophyta; Magnoliopsida; Lamiales; Phrymaceae. The record is from RNAcentral.
CAACAUAAAAACCACUCUGUAUAUACAGUUAUAUAAAAAUAUGUACAGUAAUUAUUGAAAAACCACUAUAACUUUUGUACAGAUUUUUAUAGUGGUAUAUGUAAAAUAUUGAAAACCACUACAAAAAUCUGUACAUAAUUAUUGAAAACCACUAUAAAAAAUCCAUACUUCUUUCGUCCAUUAGAUAUCCAUACUUCUUUCGUCCACCACCUCCAAAUCUCCUCCGCCACCGCCCGCCGCCACCUCCGGCAAACACACACUAACACACGUUCAAGUAAACACACUCACACACCAACACAUUAAUAAUAUAUAAAAAUUAUUGUAUGGUUAAACAUAAAAUGAAAAAAAACAGGUUCACAUAAAUAUAAAUCAUGAUCGUCGAUCCAAAGAAACGGCACUCAUCCAAUCCGUUAAUCGCCAAAUUCGGCUCCAACCACCAGUUGUUGUCAAAUUUCAAUAACAAGGGUCACUGUAUCAAUUUGAAUAAGAAAAAAAAUUAAUUUAUAAGAAUUAAUAGUCUUUUUCACAAUAUCUUUAUCAAAUAAGAACCUUCCCCACAAACCCUAAAACCAUUGAAAAGAUGAUUGAAAGGAAAAAAAAUUACCUUUUUUCUACAAUCGCAUAAAGAGAGAUGAAAUAAGGGGGGGGGGGGGGGGGGGUGGCUGGGGCGGCAUCAGGUGGGGGGCUGGGCGGCGCCGGUGGGGGACUGGGGCGGCGCCGGUGAGGGGCUGGUGUGUCGCCGAUGGGGGCUGGUGUGUCGUCGGGUGAAGGCUGGGGUUGGGGCUAUUGGGAGAAAAGAAGGGUUGAACG